This 364-nucleotide unclassified non-coding RNA is filed under the name Hevea brasiliensis (rubber tree). The record is from RNAcentral. Lineage: Eukaryota; Viridiplantae; Streptophyta; Magnoliopsida; Malpighiales; Euphorbiaceae.
CCUCCUCAGUCCCCUCCUUCUGAUGGUGUAGAAGGUGGAGGCUUUGCAACAACAGCAGAAGGAGGGGACUGAGGAGGUGGGGAUAGACUUGAAGGGGCAGAGAGGUCUGUUGGAUUGGCAUUGGGCUGUGAAGGGGGAGAAAUCGUAGGAGGGUCGGGUGGAGAAGAGGAAGAUUGUGGUGGCGGACUGGUGGUGAAGGGUGGUUGCGAAUUAGAGGUGGAUGGCGGUAGUGGAGUGGUUGAACCUGGUGGAAGAGCAGAAGUGGAUGAAUUUGGGGGUGGAGAUGCAGUCGCCAUUCCAAAGUUUCCAACUUUCAAGUCAUAAAAUUCACAUGCCAAAAUUUUAUCAAUUCCAGUGCAGAAAC